This 1048-nucleotide ribosomal RNA is filed under the name uncultured Methanospirillum sp. RNAcentral's name for it is "bacterial SSU rRNA". It matches the Rfam family "Archaeal small subunit ribosomal RNA", at positions 275 to 1362 of the family's 1478-position model. The record is from RNAcentral. Lineage: Archaea; Methanobacteriati; Methanobacteriota; Methanomicrobia; Methanomicrobiales; Methanospirillaceae.
CGCGGGAUUGGGAGGACGGGGUGCAGCAGGCGCGAAAACUUUACAAUGCGGGCAACCGUGAUAAGGAAACCCCGAGUGCCACCACAGGGUGGCUGUCCACCAGUGUAAACAACUGGUGAAGAAAGGGCCGGGCAAGACCGGUGCCAGCCGCCGCGGUAAUACCGGCGGCUCGAGUGGUGGCCGCUUUUACUGGGCUUAAAGGGUCCGUAGCUGGAUCUGUGUGUCCCUUGAGAAAUCCAUCGGCUUAACUGAUGGGCGUUCAGGGGAAACUGCAGUUCUAGGGACCGGGAGAGGUGAGAGGUACUGCCGGGGUAGGAGUGAAAUCCUGUAAUCCCGGUGGGACGACCUAUGGCGAAGGCAUCUCACCAGAACGGCUCCGACAGUGAGGGACGAAAGCUGGGGGAGCAAACCGGAUUAGAUACCCGGGUAGUCCCAGCUGUAAACUAUGCGCAUUAGGUGUGUCAGUGACCACGUGUCACUGAGGUGCCGAAGGGAAACCGUGAAAUGCGCCGCCUGGGGAGUACGGUCGCAAGGCUGAAACUUAAAGGAAUUGGCGGGGGAGCACCACAACGGGUGGAGCCUGCGGUUUAAUCGGACUCAACGCCGGGAAUCUCACCGGAUAAGACAGCUGAAUGAUAGUCGGGAUGAAGACUCUACUUGACUAGCUGAGAGGAGGUGCAUGGCCGUCGUCAGUUCGUACUGUGAAGCAUCCUGUUUAGUCAGGCAACGAGCGAGACCCACGCCGACAAUUGCCAGCUUGACCUUCGGGUCGAUGGGGACAUCGUUGGGACCGCCUCUGCUAAAGGGGAGGAAGGAAUGGGCAACGGUAGGUCAGCAUGCCCCGAAUUAUCCGGGCUACACGCGGGCUACAAUGGUUGGGACAAUGGGUUCCGACACCGAAAGGUGAAGGCAAUCUCCUAAACCCAGUCUAAGUUCGGAUUGCGGGUUGUAACUCACCCGCAUGAAGCUGGAAUCCGUAGUAAUCGCGUUUCACCAUAGCGCGGUGAAUAUGUCCCUGCUCCUUGCACGAAUUCGCCGAAUCACUAGU